This 551-nucleotide ribosomal RNA is filed under the name uncultured bacterium. Its description in RNAcentral is "bacterial SSU rRNA". It matches the Rfam family "Bacterial small subunit ribosomal RNA", at positions 355 to 896 of the family's 1533-position model. The record is from RNAcentral.
UAGGGAAUCUUCGGCAAUGGACGGAAGUCUGACCGAGCAACGCCGCGUGAGUGAAGAAGGUUUUCGGAUCGUAAAGCUCUGUUGUUAGAGAAGAACGUUGGUAGGAGUGGAAAAUCUACCAAGUGACGGUAACUAACCAGAAAGGGACGGCUAACUACGUGCCAGCAGCCGCGGUAAUACGUAGGUCCCGAGCGUUGUCCGGAUUUAUUGGGCGUAAAGCGAGCGCAGGCGGUUCUUUAAGUCUGAAGUUAAAGGCAGUGGCUUAACCAUUGUACGCUUUGGAAACUGGAGGACUUGAGUGCAGAAGGGGAGAGUGGAAUUCCAUGUGUAGCGGUGAAAUGCGUAGAUAUAUGGAGGAACACCGGUGGCGAAAGCGGCUCUCUGGUCUGUAACUGACGCUGAGGCUCGAAAGCGUGGGGAGCAAACAGGAUUAGAUACCCUGGUAGUCCACGCCGUAAACGAUGAGUGCUAGGUGUUAGGCCCUUUCCGGGGCUUAGUGCCGCAGCUAACGCAUUAAGCACUCCGCCUGGGGAGUACGAACCGCAAGGUUG